Molecule: non-coding RNA, 544 nt
Organism: Lonchura striata (white-rumped munia)
Lineage: Eukaryota; Metazoa; Chordata; Aves; Passeriformes; Estrildidae
Source: RefSeq, a predicted model, not a curated record
CGAGGCUGGACCGGGGCUGCGGCUCCUCCCCGUGAUGUCAGCUGGAUGAGGGGUGCUGCCGGGCCGGCCCAGAAGGGUGUGGGGCGGAUCCCACGGAUCACGUAGGACGGAGCAGUGGCUGCAGGGCUCCUCCCAGUCCCGGGAGAGGUUGGAGCGGCCGGGUGGCACGGCAGCCCUUAUGGGGCAGAAGCACCCACUACUUGGUCUGUUCCCCCAAGCAGGGCGGCAUGAUGUGCCCGCCUGGGAAAGAUGUUUCUGUGCCGCUCUUGUGAGCCAGCCAGGAGGCUUCCUCAGGAUAAGGAAAGCCUUAUAUCUCUCUCGAGGAAGUCACCAAGGUUAUCACCAUGACAAAGUGAAGAAAGAGAGAAAGUAAAAAGAUCUGAACUUUGGUUGUCUCACACAGUGACAUGGCUCCAUUUACUUAUCAAAAGUUUUGUUUUUUUAUAACCAAUGGGCAGUGUAUGUUUUCAUUAAUUAAAUGUAAGCAUCUUGUAAGAUUAUAAAAGCAACAUGUUGCUUUAAUAAAAAGGUCUGUACAGCCUUC